Long non-coding RNA from Suricata suricatta (meerkat), 270 nucleotides. RefSeq lists it as uncharacterized. The record is from RefSeq and is a predicted model, not a curated record. NCBI's taxonomy places the organism in Eukaryota, Metazoa, Chordata, Mammalia, Carnivora, Herpestidae. The transcript is spliced from 2 exons.
CAGCAAGGAGUGCGGGUGUCUGCCACUGGCUGCGUGGGUGAGCCACCCUGGAAGUGGAUCCACUGAUGCCAGCCAGGCCCCUGGAGGCUGCGGUGCUAGGUGAUGCCCCAUUGGGACCCUUGUAAGACCCUGGACCAGAACCACCCAGCCAGGAAUGCCUUCUUCUAUCCAAGAGUGUGGGAUGGGGUAGACAAUCCCCAAGAGGCCACACUGACAGAGACCAUGCUGAAGCGUAUUGGAGGACAUUAAUCUAGUGCAGACAUAGUCGAA